This is a long non-coding RNA of Felis catus (domestic cat), 4487 nucleotides long. RefSeq lists it as uncharacterized. The transcript has 3 exons. The record is from RefSeq and is a predicted model, not a curated record. NCBI's taxonomy places the organism in Eukaryota, Metazoa, Chordata, Mammalia, Carnivora, Felidae.
UGCAAAGCACUUCACAAUAUACAAAUGAUUUCACAAUAAGACAGUCAAGUUAGCAUUCCUGCCUCUGGGGGCUGAGGGCUGCUGGCCCCCAGCAAGAGGGUAAGGCAAGAGCCAGCCAGAAACCUCGGCUGCCUUCUCACUGUCCUUUCCUCUCACCUAGCCUGGAAUUUCCACCAUCAAACUCCCUAAUGGAGUAAAGAAGCACACUGGGGGGCUCUAGAAGAGGACCAUGAGCAGAGGGGACCAGGUGAAAAGACGGUGUGUGGACUGAUGUGUGCUGUUAAAAGCAAUGAAUUAGAUCUGCCAGGGGCUUCCAGCCAUGAAAUGCUCUGCUCUCUUCUCUUUUCCUUGCCGUCCCCGGGGCUGGAGGAGCACAGGCCUCCCCAGGCACCGGGCCUCAGCUUUGCUGCACUCCCAUCUCCUUCCAAGGGUUGAGGCCGGGUGGCCAGAAAUGGGAGGCCCGGACUUGCUACUGCCGAUGUGGAAACAGGGGCAGCUGCAGCCCGGGCGGCUCUGGGCUGGGCACCCCGACCCUGCCCAGAGGGGCCUGAGUAGGCCUGCCAGGCCAGGCCUCACACCUGGGCAGUGGAUGGCCUGAGGUACCCCCACACCAGCAACCCGUCCUUCCCAUACCCAACAGCUUUUGCCAAGUGUGAGGGGCCAGGUGGGGCCAUCGCUCAAGGCCAAGCUGGGGCCCAGGAGGUCAGAGGUCCAGGGAUGGGAGCUCCAGUCCAGGAGUCAGGGCUCAGGAGUUUUGGUCUCAGCUCUGUUCUUUGCUCACUGGGUGCCUUUGGCCAUCCCUGACCCCCUGCAGGCGUCGGCUUCCUCUUUUGUGUAGUGAUUGUGGCCCCCAUGAUCUAAAAUCUCUCGCCCAUUUCUGCUCCAAUUCUGACAUCCCCCUUGAAUUUCAUAUUUCAAGAGCCUCUGCUUUGGGGACAGGUAGGCACGGAGGCUGGGGCCCUCAGAGCAGGGCUUGGCAUAGGCCUUGGAGAGACUAGGGGGAAGGAAAGGGCAUGCCAGGCCGGGGGCCAGACUGGAACAAGGCUUGGAGGUGGGAAGGCCAGGACCAAGUCUGGGAGACGAGGUGUUGAUGGGACAGAGGGUCGUAGGUGACAAGAUUGAUCCAGAAGGAUUCGAAAGUGGGAGAAAGAUUUUAGGAGCCGCUUUGUUCCCGCAGACCUGAGGAAGGGGUCUGACACCUCUCCAGAAGUGGUCUUUUGGAGGGUGGGGGCAGGGCCAGUGCUUCCUGUCUAAGAAGGAGAUGGGUACCCGUGUGGUGGGACACGGGAGCCUCAGGAGGGAGCCACAUCUUUCCCCCUCUGUCAGGUGCCUGGAGGGCCACCAUCAGGGCCAGGCCUCAGGAGUUGGCAUUGCCCUCUUCCCGAACGCAUCUUGUUUUGUUUUUAAGCACUGCUAUUGCAAGAAUGGGAGGGGAGAUGACUUUGCUUCUUGUUGACUUUGCUGACAGUGCCUGACCUCUGCAGGAAGAGUUUCCAGGAAGGCCAAGGCAUGAGCCCCCUGGGAACCGACCAGUCCACUGAGUUCAGACACCCUCUUGGUCUAGGAGGUUCUGAGGUGCCCACCUCACAAGUACAAGCCCUAAAUCUCAAGGCCUGUGCAACACAGACAGCACAAGCACUGGUUCCAGCCAAAGAGGCCUUGGGGAUCCCAAGACCCCGAGGCCCAGACUGAGGGACCAUCGGGCUGGCCUGGCCCCCACUAUCCUGUCCCGGCACCAAGUGCUGAGUUGGCGGUUCAGCAGCUGCCUCUGCCCACGGAGGCCCAGUUAUAAAUAAGCUCAGUGUGGCCAAGUCAUCAAGUUCUGCCCCAGCUGCAUUACCUCAGUGACCACAGGUUGGGGCUGCCCAGUGCUGGGCCCACCGAAACCUGCCCACCCAGAGAAAGGCCAGGCCAGCUUCCAUGCCUCCUGGGGUCCUCAAAUGCAGGCUUUGAAUAGCUGCAGCUACUCAGGCCCGGGCCUCCCUGGACACAGGCCACAGAAGGGGCAGGGCCCAUCCCGCCUGCACGGAGCCGGCAGCUAUUUACAAACCGAAACCGGGAGAAGUGAAGUGGCUGCGGCCAAGUGGCUCCAGGCCCCCCAGCCCCCACUCCCACUCCAUCCCCAGCAGCCCAUCCCCCUCUCCCCAUGGCUUCCUCUUUCCUUCUCCACACAGCUCCCCAGCCUCCCGCUGCCCGGCCAGCUCUGUCUGGACAACCUGCAGGCACCUCACGGUGACGCCCAACCCCACUGUCACAGGCCGACGGGUCCCUUCUCCUCUGCACCCCCAGGACCCCAUCAGUCUGGACUCCUUGGAACAGCCCCUCCCACCCGGGCCCGGCCGCCCACCCUGGGCAGGCCCAAGGCACAUUCCCACACUUCUCAGUUCCCCUUCGUGCUUGGAAAAGCUCCAACGCCAAUGGCUGCCACCAUGCUGCCCAUCCCUCCUGAGGGUGGUUUCUCUGGGCAUCCUGCAUCUUCACAGGAGCCAAGGAAUCUGGGGUGCUACGGUGGAACUUGGGGCACCCGGGGACUUUGGAGGGCAUGUUUCUGGACAGGAGGACCCAGCCACUGCUCUCCUUGGGUUGAUGUGGGGGACAGGCCCUUGUGCGGUGCAGAGGGACACUGGGCCUGAGGCCGCGGCACACCCGGCUUAGGAAGUGGCAGGCUGGAUGGCCUUUCAGCAGGAGACCGCUCCGAGGAGAGACAACAGGCCACAUAAGUGACACUCAUUACUAACAGACCAACUCCCUCACAUUGGCGCAGAGGUUUCCAGUUGACAUCAGUCAGAUCUUUCCAUCCCCAGAACGAGCCUAUCCCAUGACCACCAUCAUAAAGUGGAAACCGAGGCUCAGAGGGGAAACCACGUGUACGAGGCCCCAUAGCUAGAGAGCGUCUGGAUUGGGAUUCAAGGUUUAUUAACACCCUAUUCCCUCUUCUCCCUGACUGCCUUUGGUUCCAUCUUGUACCCCAGUCUCCCUACUGGCAGGACCGAAGUCUCCUAGCACUGUGACAAGAGCGAAAGCAGGGCUGGUCUGAUGCUUGAGACAGAAGCAGGCUUUGGACGGCAUAGUUGGCAGAUGGCCACCCCUGGCCAGGUGUCAGUGCCCAGUGCCCCCGCCUCCCGCCAAGUCCCAGCUGAGCAGAAGCCCUGGCCUGAGUCCCGCUCCGCCAUAGCCAGCUGGCUGGUUGAGUUUCUCCUAACCUCUCUGAGCCUCAGAGCCCCCUCCUGUGAAAUUGGCAUUUCACGAACACCAAGCACCUACUUGGUGCCAGAUCUAUGCUGGCUGCAAGCUGCCUCUGAAGCUACAACAUGACCCCUGGCCACAGUCCUGGGUAGAAGGCAGAUGAGUUACAAAAUUCUGAGAGCUCCCAGAUGGAAAUUGAGGCCUUGGGACACGGAAAGGGAGUGAUGGUGCUCCCAGGGUGCGGAGGGGUAUCACUUGGGAUGGGCCCAAAGGACAGGAAAGAGUUCUCCAGAAAAAGCAUGGGGGACAGACUCUCAUGCUGAGUCACACCCCUGUGCUUUGUAGUUCCCACGGCCUGAGUGCCCUUCCUUCCUCUGGGCCUGGUGAACUCCUACCCAUCCGUCAGGGCCCAUGGGCACACUGGAGAAUGACCAGGCCUGGCCUGGCCUGGUGGCUCCUUACCUCCUUUCUCCCACCCAGAGCCUAAGCAGAGCCUGAGGCCAGGAGUCUUUGGUCACAACACCCUCGCCAGCCCCACCCGAGCAGGCGUCUGCUCCCGGGUUCCAGCCCCCGCCGUCCCCUGCUCCGAAAAGCACCAUUUCCCUUUUCUGGGUGACCACACGCCAUGCACAGGGAAUUUCCAGCGCAGCCUGUGGAGCCUCUGAUUCACUCAGGCCCCUCAUGCAGUUAACUCCUUCCAGGCCCCGCGCCUUUAGCUCCGCACGCUGGGUGGUACCCCACCCCCACCCAGGGCCCCUGGGUGGCCUCAAACUGGCCUUGGGCCACAGCUCGGAAGUCGAAGUUUCUCCCUAGCCCUACGCCUCAGGGUCCUCCCGUCAUAUGCACAGAGACCUCUUCCCGAGGACUCACGGCAUACACACUGGGCAGCCUUGGGCCCAGAGCACAGGCUUUGGGGUAAAACAAGCCUGGGUCCAGUGCUGAGUCUGGCUCUUUCAGUCCUGUGACCUGGAAAAGUGUCCGCUCUGAGCCCCAUUUCUCAUCUGUGAAAUGGAGAUCAUCCCUGUCCCAUAGCCUCGCUGUAAGGAUCCAAUGUGCUGGGCCCGCGAGGACGGUUGUAUAAUUAUUACCUUUCCUUUUUCUUUUCAAAGGGCCCCUCUCAUCCAAUCUCAGGGUCCCUGCUCCAGUCCUGGGCCCCUUUUCUGUCUGGCUUUCCCCUCCUGAGAGCUGACUGCUCACACGGGGAGGGUGAGAGAGAAGGGCCAGGGGGGCAGAGGAGGGAGGGGUGCUAUAGUCAUGGGGCUCUCCUCCAGCAGCUUCCUGGCUCCCCGCAUUUCUCUUUU